RNAcentral lists this transfer RNA (55 nucleotides) under Rhadinaea forbesi. Its description in RNAcentral is "tRNA-Ser". The record is from RNAcentral. Lineage: Eukaryota; Metazoa; Chordata; Lepidosauria; Squamata; Dipsadidae.
AGGGCGUUAUAAGACCUGCUAACUCUUUAAUCUGGGAAUAAUCACCAGCCCCCUC